Molecule: ribosomal RNA, 445 nt
Filed under: uncultured bacterium
Lineage: Bacteria
Description: partial 16S ribosomal RNA
Rfam family: Bacterial small subunit ribosomal RNA
Source: RNAcentral
GUAGGGAAUCUUGCGCAAUGGAGGCAACUCUGACGCAGCCAUGCCGCGUGCAGGAAGAAGGCGCUACGCGUUGUAAACUGCUUUUAACCGGGAAGAAACCCCAGGACGUGUCCUGGGUUGACGGUACCGGAGGAAUAAGCACCGGCUAACUUCGUGCCAGCAGCCGCGGUAAUACGAAGGGUGCAAGCGUUAUCCGGAUUCAUUGGGUUUAAAGGGUGCGUAGGCGGAGCGUUAAGUCAGUGGUGAAAUCCUGCAGCUUAACUGUAGACUUGCCAUUGAUACUGGCGCUCUUGAGUGCGCUUGAAGUGGGCGGAAUGUGCCGUGUAGCGGUGAAAUGCUUAGAUAUGGCACAGAACACCAAUUGCGAAGGCAGCUCACUAAGGCGAUACUGACGCUGAGGCACGAAAGCGUGGGGAUCGAACAGGAUUAGAAACCCGGGUAGUCC